RNAcentral lists this transfer RNA (72 nucleotides) under Ovis aries (sheep). It matches the Rfam family "tRNA". From Rfam's summary of the family: Transfer RNA (tRNA) molecules are approximately 80 nucleotides in length. The record is from Rfam by way of RNAcentral. Lineage: Eukaryota; Metazoa; Chordata; Mammalia; Artiodactyla; Bovidae.
UGUCUGGCAGUCCACUGGUUAGGACUUAGCACUUUCACUGCUGAGGCCCAGGUAUGAUCCCUGGUCAGGGAA